UGUCGCAAUGGAUGCAGCUCGGACCGGCCCGGUCGGGGCUGUCGCUCGCGAUCGAUCGGAUGCCCGACAAAGAGCAGAAGAUCGUGUUCGUGCGAAUGCGUGAGUUCGAGCAGAACAUGACCGUGACGCUCGA
This 133-nucleotide unclassified non-coding RNA is filed under the name uncultured fungus. Its description in RNAcentral is "sequence contains ITS1". Lineage: Eukaryota; Fungi. The record is from RNAcentral.